CCGGCGAGGGGAGUGAAAAAGAACCUGAAACCGUGUACGUACAAGCAGUGGGAGCCCCACCACUAAGCCAGUGGUGAACUCCACAUACGCAUCCUUUGCUGAGGAUACGGUUAACGGAGCGAAAGCGACGUUCAACCUCAAAAGAAGCAGAGGGGGCUUAGUGGUGGGGUGACUGCGUACCUUUUGUAUAAUGGGUCAGCGACUUAUAUUCUGUAGCAAGGUU
RNAcentral lists this ribosomal RNA (223 nucleotides) under Salmonella enterica. Its description in RNAcentral is "partial 23S ribosomal RNA". It matches the Rfam family "Bacterial large subunit ribosomal RNA", at positions 526 to 647 of the family's 2925-position model. RNAcentral also lists the same sequence under 1 other name. Lineage: Bacteria; Pseudomonadati; Pseudomonadota; Gammaproteobacteria; Enterobacterales; Enterobacteriaceae. The record is from RNAcentral.